GGGGGGGAGGCUACCAUGCAGUCGAACGGUAACAGGAAGCAGCUUGCUUCUUUGCUGACGAGUGGCGGACGGGUGAGUAAUGUCUGGGAAACUGCCUGAUGGAGGGGGAUAACUACUGGAAACGGUAGCUAAUACCGCAUAACGUCGCAAGACCAAAGAGGGGGACCUUCGGGCCUCUUGCCAUCGGAUGUGCCCAGAUGGGAUUAGCUUGUUGGUGGGGUAACGGCUCACCUAGGCGACGAUCCCUAGCUGGUCUGAGAGGAUGACCAGCCACACUGGAACUGAGACACGGUCCAGACUCCUACGGGAGGCAGCAGUGGGGAAUAUUGCACAAUGGGCGCAAGCCUGAUGCAGCCAUGCCGCGUGUAUGAAGAAGGCCUUCGGGUUGUAAAGUACUUUCAGCGGGGAGGAAGGGAGUAAAGUUAAUACCUUUGCUCAUUGACGUUACCCGCAGAAGAAGCACCGGCUAACUCCGUGCCAGCAGCCGCGGUAAUACGGAGGGUGCAAGCGUUAAUCGGAAUUACUGGGCGUAAAGCGCACGCAGGCGGUUUGUUAAGUCAGAUGUGAAAUCCCCGGGCUCAACCUGGGAACUGCAUCUGA
Molecule: ribosomal RNA, 600 nt
Filed under: Escherichia coli
Lineage: Bacteria; Pseudomonadati; Pseudomonadota; Gammaproteobacteria; Enterobacterales; Enterobacteriaceae
Description: bacterial SSU rRNA
Rfam family: Bacterial small subunit ribosomal RNA
Source: RNAcentral